RNAcentral lists this ribosomal RNA (253 nucleotides) under uncultured bacterium. RNAcentral's name for it is "partial 16S ribosomal RNA". It matches the Rfam family "Bacterial small subunit ribosomal RNA", at positions 524 to 776 of the family's 1533-position model. The record is from RNAcentral.
GACAGAGGGUGCAAACGUUGUUCGGAAUUACUGGGCGUAAAGCGCGUGUAGGCGGCUCUGCAAGUCGGAUGUGAAAUCCCACGGCUCAACCAUGGAAGUGCAUUCGAAACUGCAGGGCUAGAGUCCUGGAGAGGAAGGUGGAAUGCUUGGUGUAGAGGUGAAAUUUGUAGAUAUCAAGCGGAACACCGGUGGCGAAGGCGGCCUUCUGGACAGUGACUGACGCUGAGACGCGAAAGCGUGGGGAGCAAACAGG